AUAGUUUAAGUAAAACUAAAACAUUACAUUUUCAAUGUAAAAAUAAAAUUUUAUUUUUUAUAAAUAUA
RNAcentral lists this transfer RNA (68 nucleotides) under Sabethes chloropterus. Its description in RNAcentral is "tRNA-Glu". The record is from RNAcentral. Lineage: Eukaryota; Metazoa; Arthropoda; Insecta; Diptera; Culicidae.